AAGUAGUGCCUAUGCGCUAUUUAGUGGCAAACGGGUGAGUAACACGUAGCUUAGCUGUCCUAAAGUGGGGGAUAGCCGCGGGAAGCCGCGGGUAAUACCGCAUGUGAUCUACGGAUUAAAGCUUAAUGCGCUUUAGGAGGUGGCUGCGGCCCAUCAGGUUGUUGGCGGGGUAAUGGCCCACCAAGCCUAUGACGGGUAUCCGGCCUGAGAGGGUGAUCGGACACAUUGGAACUGAGACACGGUCCAGACUCCUACGGGAGGCAGCAGCUAGGAAUUUUCCGCAAUGGACGAAAGUCUGACGGAGCAACGCCGCGUGAAGGAUGAAGGUCUUUAGGGAUUGUAAACUUCUUUUAUAUGAGACGAGUAAGGACGGUAUCAUAAGAAUAAGUCCCGGCUAACUACGUGCCAGCAGCCGCGGUAAUACGUAGGGGGCUAGCGUUGUUCGGAAUUACUGGGUAUAAAGGGUGCGCAGGCGGAUUUCUAAGCAAGAGGUGAAAUGUCAAGGCUCAACCAUGGCACUGCCUUUUGAACUGGUUAUCUGGAGUACAGAAGGGGAGAGCAGAAUUUCCGGUGUAGGGGUGGAAUCUAUA
Molecule: ribosomal RNA, 590 nt
Filed under: uncultured bacterium
Lineage: Bacteria
Description: bacterial SSU rRNA
Rfam family: Bacterial small subunit ribosomal RNA
Source: RNAcentral